GGUUAAGCGACUAAGCGUACACGGUGGAUGCCCUGGCAGUCAGAGGCGAUGAAGGACGUGCUAAUCUGCGAAAAGCGUCGGUAAGGUGAUAUGAACCGUUAUAACCGGCGAUGUCCGAAUGGGGAAACCCAGUGCAAUUCGUUGCACUAUCGUUAACUGAAUACAUAGGUUAACGAGGCGAACCGGGGGAACUGAAACAUCUAAGUACCCCGAGGAAAAGAAAUCAACCGAGAUUCCCCCAGUAGCGGCGAGCGAACGGGGAGCAGCCCAGAGCCUGAAUCAGUGUGUGUGUUAGUGGAAGCGUCUGGAAAGGCGCGCGAUACAGGGUGACAGCCCCGUACACAAAAAUGCACAUGCUGUGAGCUCGAUGAGUAGGGCGGGACACGUGGUAUCCUGUCUGAAUAUGGGGGGACCAUCCUCCAAGGCUAAAUACUCCUGACUGACCGAUAGUGAACCAGUACCGUGAGGGAAAGGCGAAAAGAACCCCGGCGAGGGGAGUGAAAAAGAACCUGAAACCGUGUACGUACAAGCAGUGGGAGCACGCUUAGGCGUGUGACUGCGUACCUUUUGUAUAAUGGGUCAGCGACUUAUAUUCUGUAGCAAGGUUAACCGAAUAGGGGAGCCGAAGGGAAACCGAGUCUUAACUGGGCGUUAAGUUGCAGGGUAUAGACCCGAAACCCGGUGAUCUAGCCAUGGGCAGGUUGAAGGUUGGGUAACACUAACUGGAGGACCGAACCGACUAAUGUUGAAAAAUUAGCGGAUGACUUGUGGCUGGGGGUGAAAGGCCAAUCAAACCGGGAGAUAGCUGGUUCUCCCCGAAAGCUAUUUAGGUAGCGCCUCGUGAAUUCAUCUCCGGGGGUAGAGCACUGUUUCGGCAAGGGGGUCAUCCCGACUUACCAACCCGAUGCAAACUGCGAAUACCGGAGAAUGUUAUCACGGGAGACACACGGCGGGUGCUAACGUCCGUCGUGAAGAGGGAAACAACCCAGACCGCCAGCUAAGGUCCCAAAGUCAUGGUUAAGUGGGAAACGAUGUGGGAAGGCCCAGACAGCCAGGAUGUUGGCUUAGAAGCAGCCAUCAUUUAAAGAAAGCGUAAUAGCUCACUGGUCGAGUCGGCCUGCGCGGAAGAUGUAACGGGGCUAAACCAUGCACCGAAGCUGCGGCAGCGACGCUUAUGCGUUGUUGGGUAGGGGAGCGUUCUGUAAGCCUGUGAAGGUGUGCUGUGAGGCAUGCUGGAGGUAUCAGAAGUGCGAAUGCUGACAUAAGUAACGAUAAAGCGGGUGAAAAGCCCGCUCGCCGGAAGACCAAGGGUUCCUGUCCAACGUUAAUCGGGGCAGGGUGAGUCGACCCCUAAGGCGAGGCCGAAAGGCGUAGUCGAUGGGAAACAGGUUAAUAUUCCUGUACUUGGUGUUACUGCGAAGGGGGGACGGAGAAGGCUAUGUUGGCCGGGCGACGGUUGUCCCGGUUUAAGCGUGUAGGCUGGUUUUCCAGGCAAAUCCGGAAAAUCAAGGCUGAGGCGUGAUGACGAGGCACUACGGUGCUGAAGCAACAAAUGCCCUGCUUCCAGGAAAAGCCUCUAAGCAUCAGGUAACAUCAAAUCGUACCCCAAACCGACACAGGUGGUCAGGUAGAGAAUACCAAGGCGCUUGAGAGAACUCGGGUGAAGGAACUAGGCAAAAUGGUGCCGUAACUUCGGGAGAAGGCACGCUGAUACGUAGGUGAAGUCCCUCGCGGAUGGAGCUGAAAUCAGUCGAAGAUACCAGCUGGCUGCAACUGUUUAUUAAAAACACAGCACUGUGCAAACACGAAAGUGGACGUAUACGGUGUGACGCCUGCCCGGUGCCGGAAGGUUAAUUGAUGGGGUCAGCGCAAGCGAAGCUCUUGAUCGAAGCCCCGGUAAACGGCGGCCGUAACUAUAACGGUCCUAAGGUAGCGAAAUUCCUUGUCGGGUAAGUUCCGACCUGCACGAAUGGCGUAAUGAUGGCCAGGCUGUCUCCACCCGAGACUCAGUGAAAUUGAACUCGCUGUGAAGAUGCAGUGUACCCGCGGCAAGACGGAAAGACCCCGUGAACCUUUACUAUAGCUUGACACUGAACAUUGAGCCUUGAUGUGUAGGAUAGGUGGGAGGCUUUGAAGUGUGGACGCCAGUCUGCAUGGAGCCGACCUUGAAAUACCACCCUUUAAUGUUUGAUGUUCUAACGUUGACCCGUGAUCCGGGUUGCGGACAGUGUCUGGUGGGUAGUUUGACUGGGGCGGUCUCCUCCUAAAGAGUAACGGAGGAGCACGAAGGUUGGCUAAUCCUGGUCGGACAUCAGGAGGUUAGUGCAAUGGCAUAAGCCAGCUUGACUGCGAGCGUGACGGCGCGAGCAGGUGCGAAAGCAGGUCAUAGUGAUCCGGUGGUUCUGAAUGGAAGGGCCAUCGCUCAACGGAUAAAAGGUACUCCGGGGAUAACAGGCUGAUACCGCCCAAGAGUUCAUAUCGACGGCGGUGUUUGGCACCUCGAUGUCGGCUCAUCACAUCCUGGGGCUGAAGUAGGUCCCAAGGGUAUGGCUGUUCGCCAUUUAAAGUGGUACGCGAGCUGGGUUUAGAACGUCGUGAGACAGUUCGGUCCCUAUCUGCCGUGGGCGCUGGAGAAUUGAGGGGGGCUGCUCCUAGUACGAGAGGACCGGAGUGGACGCAUCACUGGUGUUCGGGUUGUCAUGCCAAUGGCACUGCCCGGUAGCUAAAUGCGGAAGAGAUAAGUGCUGAAAGCAUCUAAGCACGAAACUUGCCCCGAGAUGAGUUCUCCCUGAGACUUUAAGUCUCCUGAAGGAACGUUAAAGACGAUGACGUUGAUAGGCCGGGUGUGUAAGCGCAGCGAUGCGUUGAGCUAACCGGUACUAAUGAACCGUGAGGCUUAACCUU
RNAcentral lists this ribosomal RNA (2904 nucleotides) under Klebsiella pneumoniae. Its description in RNAcentral is "23S ribosomal RNA". It matches the Rfam family "Bacterial large subunit ribosomal RNA". Lineage: Bacteria; Pseudomonadati; Pseudomonadota; Gammaproteobacteria; Enterobacterales; Enterobacteriaceae. The record is from RNAcentral.